This 521-nucleotide ribosomal RNA is filed under the name uncultured bacterium. RNAcentral's name for it is "bacterial SSU rRNA". It matches the Rfam family "Bacterial small subunit ribosomal RNA", at positions 8 to 518 of the family's 1533-position model. The record is from RNAcentral.
AGAGUUUGAUUAUGGCUCAGGAUGAACGCUAGCUACAGGCUUAACACAUGCAAGUCGAGGGGCAGCAUGUGGUUGCUUGCAACCAAUGAUGGCGACCGGCGCACGGGUGAGUAACGCGUAUCCAACCUUCCCCUUAGUAGGGCAUAGCCCGUAGAAAUGCGGAUUAAUACCCUAUGUUGUAUAUUGAGGACAUCUGAUUUAUACCAAAGGUUCACCGCUAAGGGAUGGGGAUGCGUCUGAUUAGGUUGUUGGCGGGGUAACGGCCCACCAAGCCUACGAUCAGUAGGGGUUCUGAGAGGAAGGUCCCCCACAUUGGAACUGAGACACGGUCCAAACUCCUACGGGAGGCAGCAGUGAGGAAUAUUGGUCAAUGGGCGAGAGCCUGAACCAGCCCAAGUAGCGUGCAGGAUGACGGCCCUAUGGGUUGUAAACUGCUUUUAUACGGGGAUAAAGUGACCCACGUGUGGGUUUUUGUAGGUACCGUAUGAAUAAGGACCGGCUAAUUCCGUGCCAGCCGCCGC